RNAcentral lists this ribosomal RNA (665 nucleotides) under uncultured rumen bacterium. Its description in RNAcentral is "bacterial SSU rRNA". It matches the Rfam family "Bacterial small subunit ribosomal RNA", at positions 68 to 743 of the family's 1533-position model. The record is from RNAcentral.
GGAAGUUUUCGGAUGGAAGCGGAAGGGAUGUUUUAGCGGCGGACGGGUGAGUAACGCGUGGGUAACCUGCCUUGUACUGGGGGAUAACAGUUAGAAAUGACUGCUAAUACCGCAUAAGCCCACGGUUUCGCAUGGAACUGUGAGAAAAGAUUAAUUGAUACAAGAUGGACCCGCGUCUGAUUAGCUAGUUGGCGAGGUAACGGCCCACCAAGGCGACGAUCAGUAGCCGACCUGAGAGGGUGAUCGGCCACAUUGGGACUGAGACACGGCCCAAACUCCUACGGGAGGCAGCAGUGGGGAAUAUUGCACAAUGGGGGAAACCCUGAUGCAGCGACGCCGCGUGAGUGAAGAAGUAUUUCGGUAUGUAAAGCUCUUUAAGCAGGGAAGAUAAUGACGGUACCUGCAGAAUAAGCACCGGCUAAAUACGUGCCAGCAGCCGCGGUAAUACGUAUGGUGCAAGCGUUAUCCGGAUUUACUGGGUGUAAAGGGAGCGUAGACGGUGUAUCAAGUCUGAAGUGAAACCCCACGGCUCAACCGUGGGCUUGCUUUGGAAACUGGUAGACUAGAGUACUGGAGAGGUAAGCGGAAUUCCUGGUGUAGUAGUGAAAUGCGUAGAUAUCAGGAAGAACAUCAGUGGCGAAGGCGGCUUACUGGACAGCAACUGA